CCAAUAGCGUAUAUUAAAGUUGUUGCAGUUAAAAAGCUCGUAGUUGAAUUUCGGAAUCUGUCCGUUGGUCGGGCUUCACUGUCCGUACUGGUGUGAUGGGUUCUUACCUUCUGAAUAACCAGCAUGCCCUUAACUUGGUGCGCUGGGGAAGCAGGACUAUUACCUUGAAAAAAUUAGAGUGCUCCAAGCAGGCUAGCGCCUGAAUACAUUAGCAUGGAAUAAUAAAAUAGGACGGCAUGGUUCUAUUUUGUUGGUUUCUAGGAUCACCGUAAUGAUUAAUAGGGAUAGUUGGGGGCAUUAGUAUUCAAUUGUCAGAGGUGAAAUUCUUGGAUUUAUUGAAGACUAACUUCUGCGAAAGCAUUUGCCAAGGAUGUUUUCAUUAAUCAAGAACGAAAGUUAGGGGAUCGAAGACGAUCAGAUACCGUCGUAGUCUUAACCAUAAACUAUGCCGACUAGGGAUCGGACGAUGUUAAUUUUUUAAUGACUCGUUCGGCGCCUUACG
RNAcentral lists this ribosomal RNA (502 nucleotides) under uncultured Glomeromycotina. RNAcentral describes it as "partial small subunit ribosomal RNA". It matches the Rfam family "Eukaryotic small subunit ribosomal RNA", at positions 591 to 1092 of the family's 1831-position model. Lineage: Eukaryota; Fungi; Glomeromycota. The record is from RNAcentral.